CACAUCGCUGACGAGUGGCGGACGGGUGAGUAAUGCUUGGGAACUUGCCUUUGCGAGGGGGAUAACAGUUGGAAACGACUGCUAAUACCGCAUAAUGUCUUCGGACCAAACGGGGCUUAGGCUCCGGCGCAAAGAGAGGCCCAAGUGAGAUUAGCUAGUUGGUAAGGUAAUGGCUUACCAAGGCGACGAUCUCUAGCUGUUCUGAGAGGAAGAUCAGCCACACUGGGACUGAGACACGGCCCAGACUCCUACGGGAGGCAGCAGUGGGGAAUAUUGCACAAUGGGGGAAACCCUGAUGCAGCCAUGCCGCGUGUGUGAAGAAGGCCUUCGGGUUGUAAAGCACUUUCAGUUGUGAGGAAAAGUUAGUAGUUAAUACCUGCUAGCCGUGACGUUAACAACAGAAGAAGCACCGGCUAACUCCGUGCCAGCAGCCGCGGUAAUACGGAGGGUGCGAGCGUUAAUCGGAAUUACUGGGCGUAAAGCGCACGCAGGCGGUUUGUUAAGCUAGAUGUGAAAGCCCCGGGCUCAACCUGGGAUGGUCAUUUAGAACUGGCAGACUAGAGUCUUGGAGAGGGGAGUGGAAUUCCAGGUGUAGCGGUGA
Molecule: ribosomal RNA, 601 nt
Filed under: Alteromonas macleodii
Lineage: Bacteria; Pseudomonadati; Pseudomonadota; Gammaproteobacteria; Alteromonadales; Alteromonadaceae
Description: bacterial SSU rRNA
Rfam family: Bacterial small subunit ribosomal RNA
Source: RNAcentral